RNAcentral lists this ribosomal RNA (253 nucleotides) under uncultured bacterium. Its description in RNAcentral is "partial 16S ribosomal RNA". It matches the Rfam family "Bacterial small subunit ribosomal RNA", at positions 524 to 776 of the family's 1533-position model. The record is from RNAcentral.
UACGUAGGGUGCGAGCGUUAAUCGGAAUUACUGGGCGUAAAGCGUGCGUAGGCGGUUCGUUAUGUCUGCUGUGAAAUCCCCGGGCUCAACCUGGGAAUGGCAGUGGAAACUGGCGGGCUUGAGUGUGGCAGAGGGGGGUGGAAUUCCGCGUGUAGCAGUGAAAUGCGUAGAGAUGCGGAGGAACACCGAUGGCGAAGGCAGCCCCCUGGGCUAACACUGACGCUGAGGCGCGAAAGCGUGGGGAGCAAACAGG